GAUGAACGCUGGCGGCGUGCCUAAUACAUGCAAGUCGAGCGAACAGACGAGGAGCUUGCUCCUCUGACGUUAGCGGCGGACGGGUGAGUAACACGUGGAUAACCUACCUAUAAGACUGGGAUAACUUCGGGAAACCGGAGCUAAUACCGGAUAAUAUAUUGAACCGCAUGGUUCAAUAGUGAAAGACGGUUUUGCUGUCACUUAUAGAUGGAUCCGCGCCGCAUUAGCUAGUUGGUAAGGUAACGGCUUACCAAGGCAACGAUGCGUAGCCGACCUGAGAGGGUGAUCGGCCACACUGGAACUGAGACACGGUCCAGACUCCUACGGGAGGCAGCAGUAGGGAAUCUUCCGCAAUGGGCGAAAGCUUGACGGAGCAACGCCGCGUGAGUGAUGAAGGUCUUCGGAUCGUAAAACUCUGUUAUUAGGGAAGAACAAAUGUGUAAGUAACUAUGCACGUCUUGACGGUACCUAAUCAGAAAGACACGGCUAACUACGUG
Molecule: ribosomal RNA, 497 nt
Filed under: uncultured bacterium
Lineage: Bacteria
Description: partial 16S ribosomal RNA
Rfam family: Bacterial small subunit ribosomal RNA
Source: RNAcentral